UAGAGCAAUCCCAUAAUGCUUUGCGUUGUGACGUCUGCCGCUUGUGACAUGCGCAAAUGAGUUGUACCCGGAAGCCCCCGGUGUAAACAAUGGAUUUGUUAGCCGGCGUAAUCAAGAUUACUGUUAUUUUUUGCGCGUUUGUUUUGAAACUGCAGCAUCAGAGGAACAUGCUUCUUCUUCAGGACUUGUUCAGAAAGAAACGAGCGCGGCGGAAUGUGUUUUUACGUGAUGUAGCACGGAGCACGGUUAGUAAAGCCGUAAUGAAAACACCGACGGAUUAAACACCUGAUUUACGAGCCAAAUGAAAAUGAAGCCUUGGAGAUCAGACGGAGCUUUGAGGAAACAUCAUAUCCCUCAAAUAAUGGGACUAACUGACUGAACUCACAGACACAUGCAGGGUGUGAAAAACACUGAGGGCGAAGCCGUGCAGCUACAAAUCAUUGGUGACCCUGCAGAUCCACUCCGUGACUGGUUGUUGAAAGGCCACAUAAAUUCUACACAUCUGACCCCAGAGAAGAAAUCUGUUCAUGUGAACCUCAGCUCACUCUGUGUAACAGUAGAAAACACUUCAUGGAUUUUGAAGUCAAGGGGGAGGGGGCUACGGGUUGGGGAACGCUGGUCACUUUGAUGGCAUGUCUCCUCAGCCUGGAUCACAGGUCUUGAUGCAGAGCCAUUCCGGUGGGAGCAGGACAACGAUGGCAUUGAAGGAGUACAUGUUCAAUCACUUCCCUCUCUGAAAUGGUCAUCUCCAUUAACAAAAUAAUAAUUAAAAAAAUCUGACAAACACAUUUUUUUUAUUAUUAUUAAAGUGAAUACAACUUUCUUCCAUACACAUAUAUAAAAUAAAAACCUGGCAGCACCACAACAAUUUGGUUAAAAAUAAAAUAUAGUGCUAAAAACUUUUAUUCACUUCCAUCAGAGCUUGGCAUGACUUCUUAAACUGCCAUUGCUGUGAUGUCAGAUCAUAAAACCGAAUCCUAAAGGUGGCUCUUUGUCAGCAAAAUAACAUACUUCCAGGAAAAAAUUUGAAGAAACUUAACAUCAGGGCCAGUUUCUUAUAUUCAGUUUCUACAUGUUGUGUGGGCUGUAGACAAAGUUUCCAUUGUUAUUGGGUUGGGUGGUCAGGUGGCUAGCUGUGAUUCGUGAUGAAAUAGUGGACUUAGUAGAGGACCUAGCUGAGAUGCGUGCACAUCAUUUAGGAGAGGUUAACUCACCUGUUCCAGACUAAUAUGGGUCAUUGACAGGCACAGGCAGCUGAUUUACUGGUAGAUUUACGCAUUAAAAAUUUAUCCAUUUUGCUCCUGGCAUGUUAGCUAACAAUGUUUUCUUUUAACUUUUUUCCCCUUCUUUUGUUGGCUCUUCAUCUUUU
This is a long non-coding RNA of Thalassophryne amazonica, 1369 nucleotides long. RefSeq lists it as uncharacterized. The transcript has 3 exons. NCBI's taxonomy places the organism in Eukaryota, Metazoa, Chordata, Actinopteri, Batrachoidiformes, Batrachoididae. The record is from RefSeq and is a predicted model, not a curated record.